Molecule: ribosomal RNA, 252 nt
Filed under: uncultured Bacteroidales bacterium
Lineage: Bacteria; Pseudomonadati; Bacteroidota; Bacteroidia; Bacteroidales
Description: partial 16S ribosomal RNA
Rfam family: Bacterial small subunit ribosomal RNA
Source: RNAcentral
UACGUAGGGGGCAAGCGUUAUCCGGAUUUAUUGGGUUUAAAGGGUGCGUAGGCGGAACAUUAAGUCAGCGGUAAAAUACGGGGGCUCAACCUCCGCCCGCCGUUGAAACUGACGAUCUUGAGUGGGCGAGAAGUAUGCGGAAUGCGUGGUGUAGCGGUGAAAUGCAUAGAUAUCACGCAGAACUCCGAUUGCGAAGGCAGCAUACCGGCGCUCAACUGACGCUCAUGCACGAAAGCGUGGGUAUCGAACAGG